UCACCUUCCUUACUUUUUGGUCCGUUGCAUUCCGUGAAGUUUUCAUUGGAAACUUGCUUUUCCGCUGCUCUGUUAAUGAGCCUCACCAAGUCGUGGCGGAUAUGGCUAUUUUUAAGAGGAUUUUCAUUGGACUGCUGCUUAGGCGUCAAGUGGAUGGGCGCCUUUGUUGUGUCUCUAAUUGGUUAGUCCACUGUCUAUGAGCUUUGGAACAUUUGGGGCGACCUGCAUAAUUCUCCAAAGACAGUUUUGCACCACUUUCUUACCCGCAUGGUUUGCUUGAUUGUCUUCCUUUUGCGCUGUACGCCUCUUUUUUCCGGAUCCACUUCUGUUGAGCGUUCUAUUCCGGCCAGGGAGACGGUUUCAUGAGCUCAAAGUUUCAACACACGAUCGUUGGAAUCCUCUGGCUCAUCAGUUGAGCGCAAAGCACUUGGUUUAUGGGGCUAAGUUUACACUACGGAGCGCAUAUUCUGGCGGGGGCUCCUGCACUCCCACGCAGAACUCUAUCCCAUAGAGUAUUUGCAAACUCUCCAUUUGUAGGUGCGUCUCGGUGGUUGCUAUCGUGCAUUGCUGUGAAUUAUUCUCAACAGGUCACAACAUAAUUCCUAUAAGGACGGUGUAAUAACGAUUGUACAUCAAAAAGGCACCGCAUGGUGGUCUCUUGCAUGCCUAAUUCGAUCCAAUAUAUUUUACUUGGGUCUCAGCUAAAUCAGGCGGUGUACGAACUCCAAGUUGGAGCCUGUUCUUCACGGAAACCUCGUGCGUCUAAAGCACGUGAGCACUGCCAAGCACUUGCCCAGUCACAACGUGCCCGCGUUCAUGACUCUGUGCAGAAACAGGUUUUUGGCUGCGAGCACAAUGAUUCCAAUGACCACUGGCAAGUACUGGUAGACGGCUACGAUGAUUGGCCUAUCCUGCACUUCUUGGCAAGAGCGACACAAUGCCUGUAACCGAGCUUAUCACAGCAUUGCUAUCUACUCUACAGCGGCGUCAACCUGAAGUGGGGCUUCGAGCAAGGCGGGGUCACGUGAACUCUUCCUAUUCCGAUUCCGCAAUUUGUGGAACUUUGAAACCAUCGCCGAUCCCCACGUCGAGUCAUUUAGUUUGAAGCAUGCGAAACCUCUUUCUUUUCUCGAGAGAGUCAUUGAGCUGAACACCUCUAUGAUGAAAGUUAGCAAUAAAUUUAAACCCAAGCCUAGAGAAAACUCUCCCGGCCCUGGGAUUGGCCCAUUCUGAAGCAAGGUUACCGUUUCAACCCUAGUCAUGAGCACAAUCAUCGCAUCUUCUUAAUGGGCAAUCCGCUGGUGUUUGGUGCAUCCGGGCUCUCUCUCAUCUCAUACUGUUUUCUCCUACUCUUUUACGCAAUUAUUAGAGAAAAGCUGCAGCAACAACUCAUAUGUGAACUACCAGUACUAACUCUACUGCAGGGGUAGAGCACCCCUACCUGAAGCACCGGAGCGCUGUGGUGCACACGUCGGGGGGCAUGGCUGUUUCUAGGCUAUCUUCUGCACUACCUUCCCUUUUACUUCAUCACAAGAGUUCUGUACUUCCAUCACUACCUCCCCGCUCUGCUCUUCUAUUUUAUGGUCAGCGGAGUUUUUUUCGAAGAGCUGUUAUUCUGGCUGCGAGCCUGGAAACUGUCGCGCUUCCCCCUCGCCUGUGGCCUCUAUUCUUUGCAGGCGCUCUCAUACACUCUUUUGUGUACUUUUCACUUUUUGCAUAUUUGAAAUGACGGACGACAGAAAAUU
Long non-coding RNA from Zophobas morio, 1745 nucleotides. RefSeq lists it as uncharacterized. The transcript is spliced from 10 exons. NCBI's taxonomy places the organism in Eukaryota, Metazoa, Arthropoda, Insecta, Coleoptera, Tenebrionidae. The record is from RefSeq and is a predicted model, not a curated record.